GUUCUCUUUGGCAGGACAUAUACUAGUGACACAGAGAUUAGCAUGGUCACUGUGCAAGAAUGACACACAAAUUCGUGAAGCAUUCCAUAUUUUC
RNAcentral lists this small nuclear RNA (94 nucleotides) under Castor canadensis (American beaver). The record is from RNAcentral. Lineage: Eukaryota; Metazoa; Chordata; Mammalia; Rodentia; Castoridae.